AAUUCUCUGCAUGCCGUCAAGACUUGCAAAUGUGUUCGGUUCAUCGGGUCGGGUUUUUUAAAUGUGUUCGGUUCGGAUCAGAUUGACCGGAUUCGUGGAUCGAACCAAACCCGCUUACACCCCUAGUUCAUGGAUUUGUUGAUGAAAAAUCCAUUGAUCUUACUAAGUGCUCUAGUGCAUCUCAAGACCUGAAUAAAGGUCUAAGUUCUCAAGGAAAAAGACAUAUUUUUAUGAGACUUAGAGAAUUUCUGGAUCAGCAGGGUGCCCAGCGCUUGUCAGUAGCCGCCCAGCGCUUAGGGCGGUUACAGAAACCCAACCUUGAAGUAACUGGGCGCCCAGCGCCCAUAAAGGGCCGCCCAACACUCUGCACAGAUGUAAAGUUCAUUAUAAAAGGAUUUUCUUCAUUUUUAGAAAAAAGAACGGGGUUUUUGGAGAGAGAAUUCGAGAGAGAACAAAAAGGGAAGGGACUUAGAGCUUGGGUAAGCUUCCAUCGAGCUGGAGCUACGCCGAAGUCGGCACGGAUCAUCACUUCCAUCCUAUUUCUCUUGUAAGCUUGUCUAGCUUCCAUGUCUAUGGAUAGCUAAGCUUUUCUUUGUUAGGAUUUGGUGUAGUACCUUGACUCUAUGUAUCUAAUUUAGUUCUUAUGCAUAUGAAUCUAUCUAUCUCUUGAUUUCAAUGGUAUAAUCUUGUUCUUAAA
Molecule: long non-coding RNA, 697 nt
Organism: Lotus japonicus
Lineage: Eukaryota; Viridiplantae; Streptophyta; Magnoliopsida; Fabales; Fabaceae
Exons: 2
Source: RefSeq, a predicted model, not a curated record